AACGUAACUCAUCACUCCCUUAGAUGCACCACUUGCCUUCGGUGGAGGAGGAGAAGUUGACCCUGAAGCCGGGGUACCUGGAGUUCCGGCAGCCGGCGGUGAUCCCGGUGUGGAAGGAGUUCCGGGAGUUGUAGACGGCGGCGUGGGGGCGGCUGGAGUUCCGGAAGAGGCGGCUACGACCGUAACGGCUAGCUUCAUGCCACCUGCACAGUGACCAGGUGUAGGGCAGAUGAAGUACUGUGUUCCUACUUUUUCGAGAUCAAUCGUGGUGUCUCCACCAGAAUGAGUAUCGAUCGGUGUGCCUCCACAGUUAUCGU
This 317-nucleotide long non-coding RNA is filed under the name Brassica rapa (field mustard). Its description in RNAcentral is "long non-coding RNA (BRAP_LNC001916)". Lineage: Eukaryota; Viridiplantae; Streptophyta; Magnoliopsida; Brassicales; Brassicaceae. The record is from RNAcentral.